UAGGGAAUCUUGCGCAAUGGGCGAAAGCCUGACGCAGCGACGCCGCGUGCGGGACGAAGGCCCUCGGGUUGUAAACCGCUUUCAGCAGGGACGAAGCGAGAGUGACGGUACCUGCAGAAGAAGGUCCGGCCAACUACGUGCCAGCAGCCGCGGUAAUACGUAGGGACCGAGCGUUGUCCGGAUUCAUUGGGCGUAAAGAGCUCGUAGGCGGCUGCUCAAGUCGAAUGUGAAAACUCGAGGCUCAACCUCGAGCCUGCAUUCGAUACUGGGCGGCUAGAGUCUGGUAGGGGGAUCUGGAAUUCCUGGUGUAGCGGUGGAAUGCGCAGAUAUCAGGAGGAACACCGGUGGCGAAGGCGGGAUCCUGGGCCAGUACUGACGCUGAGGAGCGAAAGCGUGGGGAGCAAACAGGAUUAGAUACCCUGGUAGUCCACGCCGUAAACGAUGGGCGCUAGGUGUGGGAGGUCAUCGACUCCUUCCGUGCCGCAGCUAACGCAUUAAGCGCCCCGCCUGGGGAGUACGGCCGCAAGGCUAA
Molecule: ribosomal RNA, 532 nt
Filed under: uncultured Actinomycetes bacterium
Lineage: Bacteria; Bacillati; Actinomycetota; Actinomycetes
Description: bacterial SSU rRNA
Rfam family: Bacterial small subunit ribosomal RNA
Source: RNAcentral